RNAcentral lists this ribosomal RNA (253 nucleotides) under uncultured bacterium. Its description in RNAcentral is "partial 16S ribosomal RNA". It matches the Rfam family "Bacterial small subunit ribosomal RNA", at positions 524 to 776 of the family's 1533-position model. The record is from RNAcentral.
UACGAAGGGGGCUAGCGUUGUUCGGAAUUACUGGGCGUAAAGCGCGUGUAGGCGGGUCUUUAAGUCAGGGGUGAAAUGCCAGGGCUCAACCUUGGAACUGCCUUUGAUACUGGAGACCUUGAGUCCGGGAGAGGUGAGUGGAACUGCGAGUGUAGAGGUGAAAUUCGUAGAUAUUCGCAAGAACACCAGUGGCGAAGGCGGCUCACUGGCCCGGUACUGACGCUGAGGUGCGAAAGCGUGGGGAGCAAACAGG